AGUUCAGUCUUCCCAGGCCCACCACUUUCAUCGAGUGAGCAUUCGUCUUCUGGUUACGGGGCCAUAGCUCAGCUGGGAGAGCGCGUGCUUUGCAAGCAUGAGGUCGUCGGUUCGAUCCCGUCUGGCUCCACCAGAUGGUUUGAUCACCGAGAUCUUGACCGUCGUCCGCGAAACAUCACUUCGCAUCCUGCUAGUCUGGAUAGACAGCAGUUUGCGUGUUUUCUGACAUCGUAAAGAGGAGAUCGAUCCGAGUUGGGUCGUGCAGCAUAUCGUUGCGCGAGCCUUCAUUAUCUCCGGAUCAUUUCGGCGCUCGCUUCCAGCCGUGAGGUUGGAUGCGGGUUGUAAAUGAUCCUUUUAGCGAAGCUUGACCGCCUCGCUAUCGGAACGAUCUUACGAAGCAAGCUGGUCUUUCUAGUCAAUGUCCGGCUGCGGAUAGCGUUCAUCGAGGGCGCGUGCCGCAAGGCAAUUCUGCAGACAACAUUCUGCCGAGUGUGUGGACAUUGAUAAUGAGAGCAAUCAAGUGCCUUAAGGGUGUUCGGUGGAUGCCUUGGCGCUGAGAGGCGAUGAAGGACGUGCUACGCUGCGAUAAGCCGUGGGGAGCUGCGAAGAAGCUUUGAUCCGCGGAUUUCCGAAG
RNAcentral lists this unclassified non-coding RNA (634 nucleotides) under Bradyrhizobium sp. Its description in RNAcentral is "partial 16S-23S ribosomal RNA intergenic spacer". The stretch from base 515 to 634 matches the Rfam family "Bacterial large subunit ribosomal RNA", at positions 1 to 119 of the family's 2925-position model. Lineage: Bacteria; Pseudomonadati; Pseudomonadota; Alphaproteobacteria; Hyphomicrobiales; Nitrobacteraceae. The record is from RNAcentral.